UCCUAAGAAUUGAAUGUUUCAGAACUUCUGUUCAAGACACAGUUAACUGGAGAAACAAGGAACAUCUGAUUAAUCAGGCUGUAAGUAUGUGAAGGAUGAUGGCGUCUGUUAAAGAGCUGCUCGUGGAUUCACUGAAGGAGCUGGUAGAAGCUGAACUGAAAGAGUUUCAUUGGCGCUUAAAUUGUGAGCAUUUAUCAAGGUCUGAAUUGGAAAAGGCGGAUAGAUUUGACACAGUAGACAAGAUGAUAAAAUGUUUUGGACCAGAUGAAGCUGUGAAGGUUACAGUAGAGAUGCUGAGAAAGAUGAAGCAAAAUUAUCUGGCUGAACAGUUGGAGAAAAAUUACAAGCAAGCUCAGACUGAGGGCAACAUGAAGAAAUCUGCUGCUGUUGGAGGUGAAUCACUACAUAUCCGUAAACAACAAUUACUGCAUUUAA
Puntigrus tetrazona (Sumatra barb) is the source of this 435-nucleotide long non-coding RNA. RefSeq lists it as uncharacterized. Lineage: Eukaryota; Metazoa; Chordata; Actinopteri; Cypriniformes; Cyprinidae. The transcript has 3 exons. The record is from RefSeq and is a predicted model, not a curated record.